AGUCUGGCAGAGCGGUGCCAGAGGGGGACAGCUAUUGUCUGAAAUUGAUUUCUCCUGGUUGGGUCCAGAGCCAACGAACGGCCUUUUAGACUGAAAAGGGGAUCGCAGCAGCUGAGAACCGUCUCUCUUACCUCGAACAAUUCCUCCUACGGAGAAAUAAGGACAGAGAGAAUGGGAGGCUGAGCUGAUUGGACUUUCCUGAGCACCCAGGGCAUGCUGGGAAACCAAGAUGGCUGCUCCAGCCCUCGAUAGCCCCCACCUGCUCACUGCCUGUCCACCAGGAGGGAUGGAGAGAUUGUCUCGUCUAGGCCAUGAACCCUAAACCUGUGUCCUAAAACCUUGGAACAUGGACAUAGGCCUGGGAUGGCUGAAUGAAUGAGUGGCCCAGCUGCUCUCCACACUACAAGGCUGCCGUAUGUUACAAGAGCCACAGUUUUCAUUGUGGUGAUCUUCCCCGUCUAACUGACGGACCAGACCCAUUUUCAGUAGUGCUAACAGCUGAGCUGUACCUUCUACAUGGCUGUCUCCUGGUGAAAAUGGCAAUCUCUCCACGCUCACAUCCUGUUCCCAGGCAUUAUCCCAGUUUUUUGCCUGCUUCUUGACUGAGGUUUGCAUAGGCUCGUUGAGGAGUUCAAGUGUUCUGAAGGGACCCUUCUCCAGGACAAUACCAUGCCUCUUUCAGGCAUCUUCCCCCUGCUCGGCUGUGGUGGGAACUAAUGAGCUUCCGAAGGGCUCUCACAGAUCCACGUGGCAUGGCUUCAUUAGGGUCUGCUGCCCUGGGAAGCUAACUGUGCACAUGGUGAAUGAAGGUGGGUUCCACAUCCCUCAUGUUGUAGACAUUGUGGUUGAACUGAACAUCUGACCCCAUUCAUAUGAGCCAGAAUUUGGCCCUGGAAAAGAAAUCAGUAUUGUUUAGCUUUUUCAUUAAUCACUGCAUUUGAAGCCUUAAGGAAAUAAUCCUUAAUUUUUUUUUCUGGGUCAUGAACUCCAUGGAGAACCAAUUGAUUGUACAGAUCCAUAUCCCAGUGUAUCUCCAUAGAACUCACCUAAUAUUUAGGAUGGAUAUUACGUUUCUUUGAGCCUUUUUAUGGCUGCUUGGAAAGCUCAGAGUCUCCUUCCCUACCACAAGACAUCAAUCUUUUAUUUGUGUGUGUGCAUAUUUUUGUGUGUUUGCACAAGUGUGGGUACAUACUUGUACAUCAGUAUAUGUGUGAGUCACACACACACACACACACACACACACACCAGAGGACAACUCUAGGUGGUACCAUGCACCAUCUCUCACCAGCUUGGAGCUUGCAAAGUAGGCUAGGCUGGCUGGCCAGUGAGCCUCAGGGAUCCUCCCAUCUCUACCUAUCCAGUGCUGGGAUCAGCAACACCAUGCUGGCUUUUUUAUGUGGCUUCUGAGAAUGAAACUCCAGUCCUCAUGCUUAUGUGGCAAGUAUUUUACUGACUGUGUCAUCUUCCCAGCUCCUACCACAGGGCAUCUUUAAGAAUGUACCCACACUUGUGGACACACACACAGAGACACACACACACAAAUAAGGACACUUGUUCACAUAUUUAUUUAUUCUCAAACUUAUUUAAAAAUAAAUAUUUAUUGGACACCUAUGAUGUGCUCUGUGUGUGUAUGUGUAUAUAUAUGUAUGUGUAUAUAUGCAUUUUUUUGAAAUGGAGUCUUACUAUGUAGCCAUGGCUGUCCUCAAACUCACUAUGUAGAUCAGGUGGCAUUGAACUCACAACAAUCUGCCUGCUUCUGUCUUGUAAUUGCUUGAAAGUGUGUACCAUCAUGCCAAAGGUUAUUAAAAUGUUUUAUAGUU
This 1820-nucleotide long non-coding RNA is filed under the name Mus musculus (house mouse). Its description in RNAcentral is "predicted gene, 35147". Lineage: Eukaryota; Metazoa; Chordata; Mammalia; Rodentia; Muridae. The record is from RNAcentral.